GACGAACGCUGGCGGCGUGCUUAACACAUGCAAGUCGAACGGUAAGGCCCUAUCGGGGGUACACGAGUGGCGAACGGGUGAGUAACACGUGGGUGAUCUGCCCUGCACUUUGGGAUAAGCCUGGGAAACUGGGUCUAAUACCGGAUAGGACUACGCGAUGCAUGUCGUGUGGUGGAAAGCUUUUGCGGUGUGGGAUGGGCCCGCGGCCUAUCAGCUUGUUGGUGGGGUGAUGGCCUACCAAGGCGACGACGGGUAGCCGGCCUGAGAGGGUGUCCGGCCACACUGGGACUGAGAUACGGCCCAGACUCCUACGGGAGGCAGCAGUGGGGAAUAUUGCACAAUGGGCGCAAGCCUGAUGCAGCGACGCCGCGUGGGGGAUGACGGCCUUCGGGUUGUAAACCCCUUUCAGCACAGACGAAGCGUAAGUGACGGUAUGUGCAGAAGAAGCACCGGCCAACUACGUG
This 464-nucleotide ribosomal RNA is filed under the name uncultured bacterium. RNAcentral's name for it is "partial 16S ribosomal RNA". It matches the Rfam family "Bacterial small subunit ribosomal RNA", at positions 28 to 507 of the family's 1533-position model. The record is from RNAcentral.